ACCUUCGGGGGAAUGAGAAAAGGUAGCUUUGGCCUCUGACCGAGGAUGAGCCCGCGGUGGAUUAGCUUGUUGGCGGGGUAACGGCCCGCCAAGGCGACGAUCCAUAGCUGGUCUGAGAGGACGAUCAGCCACACUGGGACUGAGACACGGCCCAGACUCCUACGGGAGGCAGCAGUGGGGAAUCUUGCGCAAUGGGCGAAAGCCUGACGCAGCGACGCCGCGUGGGGGAAGAAGGCCUUAGGGUUGUAAACCUCUUUCAGGUGGGACGAAGCCACUCGGGUUAAUAGCCCAGAGGGUGACGGUACCGCCAGAAGAAGCCCCGGCUAACUACGUGCCAGCAGCCGCGGUAAUACGUAGGGGGCAAGCGUUGUCCGGAUUUAUUGGGCGUAAAGAGCGUGUAGGCGGCCAGGUAGGUCGGUUGUGAAAACUGGAGGCUCAACCUUCAGACGUCGACCGAAACCAUCUGGCUAGAGUCCGGAAGAGGAGAGUGGAAUUCCUGGUGUAGCGGUGGAAUGCGCAGAUAUCAGGAAGAACACCCGUGGCGGAGGCGGCUCUCUGGGACGGUACUGACGCUGAGACGCGAAAGCGUGGGGAGCGAACAGGAUUAGAUACCCUGGUAGUCCACGCCGUAAACGAUGGGUGCUAGGUGUGGGGGGUGUCGACUCCCCCCGUGCCGAAGCUAACGCAUUAAGCACCCCGCCUGGGGAGUACGGCCGCAAGGCUAAAACUCAAAGGAAUUGACGGAAUCGAAUU
Molecule: ribosomal RNA, 753 nt
Filed under: uncultured bacterium
Lineage: Bacteria
Description: bacterial SSU rRNA
Rfam family: Bacterial small subunit ribosomal RNA
Source: RNAcentral